GCCACAUUAGCUCAGUGGUAUUAAGUCGGUUUCGUAAACCGAAAGAUCCUGGUUCAAUCCUAGCAUGUGGUA
This 72-nucleotide transfer RNA is filed under the name Strongyloides venezuelensis. It matches the Rfam family "tRNA". From Rfam's summary of the family: Transfer RNA (tRNA) molecules are approximately 80 nucleotides in length. Their secondary structure includes four short double-helical elements and three loops (D, anti-codon, and T loops). Further hydrogen bonds mediate the characteristic L-shaped molecular structure. tRNAs have two regions of fundamental functional importance: the anti-codon, which is responsible for specific mRNA codon recognition, and the 3' end, to which the tRNAs corresponding amino acid is attached (by aminoacyl-tRNA synthetases). tRNAs cope with the degeneracy of the genetic code in two manners: having more than one tRNA (with a specific anti-codon) for a particular amino acid; and 'wobble' base-pairing, i.e. permitting non-standard base-pairing at the 3rd anti-codon position. The record is from Rfam by way of RNAcentral. Lineage: Eukaryota; Metazoa; Nematoda; Chromadorea; Rhabditida; Strongyloididae.